AACUAAUGAACUUGUUAAAGUGUAUAUUUUGAAAAUAUAAAAAAGAGAUAAUUCACCUCUAUUAGUUU
RNAcentral lists this transfer RNA (68 nucleotides) under Tenebrionoidea sp. 19 KM-2017. Its description in RNAcentral is "tRNA-Ser". Lineage: Eukaryota; Metazoa; Arthropoda; Insecta; Coleoptera. The record is from RNAcentral.